GCUGUUGCUACUGGUGACUCAGAUAUCAGCUGUAAACCAGCUUCCCAGUUAUAUCUAAAAAGAUCACCUUCGAACGAAAACAAAUCAGACUAACUUUCACAUUCUAACCCAUUCCAUUUGCUUGUAUAUAGUCAUUCCCUAACCCUUGCUGGUUCACUUUGGAAAUGAAGGAUGUAAAAUCCAUUUCAUUUCAAAUUAUUUUUAUAUAGAAGC
This 213-nucleotide unclassified non-coding RNA is filed under the name Hevea brasiliensis (rubber tree). Lineage: Eukaryota; Viridiplantae; Streptophyta; Magnoliopsida; Malpighiales; Euphorbiaceae. The record is from RNAcentral.